AUUAAAUCAGUUAUCGUUUAUUUGAUAGUACCUUACUACUUGGAUAACCGKGGUAAUUCUAGAGCUAAUACAUGCUAAAAACCCCGACUCCGGGAGGGGUGUAUUUAUUAGAUAAAAAACCAAUGCCCCUCGGGGCUCCUUGGUGAUUCAUGAUAACUUAACGAAUCGCAUGGCCUUGCGCCGGCGAUAGUUCAUUCAAAUUUCUGCCCUAUCAACUUUCGAUGGUAGGAUAGUGGCCUACCAUGGUAUCAACGGGUAACGGGGAAUUAGGGUUCUAUUCCGGAGAGGGAGCCUGAGAAACGGCUACCACAUCCAAGGAAGGCAGCAGGCGCGCAAAUUACCCAAUCCCGACACGGGGAGGUAGUGACAAUAAAUACUGAUACAGGGCUCUUUUGGGUCUUGUAAUUGGAAUGAGUACAAUUUAAAUCCCUUAACGAGGAACAAUUGGAGGGCAAGUCUGGUGCCAGCAGCCGCGGUAAUUCCAGCUCCAAUAGCGUAUAUUAAAGUUGUUGCAGUUAAAAAGCUCGUAGUUGAACCUUGGGCCUGGCUGGCCGGUCCGCCUCACCGCGUGCACUGGUCCGGCCGGGCCUUUCCUUCUGGGGAGCCGCAUGCCCUUCGCUGGGCGUGCCGGGGAACCAGGACUUUUACUUUGAAAAAAUUAGAGUGUUCAAAGCAGGCCUUUGCUCGAAUACAUUAGCAUGGAAUAAUGGAAUAGGACGUGUGGUUCUAUUUUGUUGGUUUCUAGGACCGCCGUAAU
RNAcentral lists this ribosomal RNA (757 nucleotides) under Lichenothelia arida. RNAcentral describes it as "SSU rRNA". It matches the Rfam family "Eukaryotic small subunit ribosomal RNA", at positions 100 to 877 of the family's 1831-position model. Lineage: Eukaryota; Fungi; Ascomycota; Dothideomycetes; Lichenotheliales; Lichenotheliaceae. The record is from RNAcentral.